GACGAACGCUGGCGGCGUGCCUAAUACAUGCAAGUUGAGCGCUGAAGGUUGGUACUUGUACCGACUGGAUGAGCAGCGAACGGGUGAGUAACGCGUGGGGAAUCUGCCUUUGAGCGGGGGACAACAUUUGGAAACGAAUGCUAAUACCGCAUAAAAACUUUAAACACAAGUUUUAAGUUUGAAAGAUGCAAUUGCAUCACUCAAAGAUGAUCCCGCGUUGUAUUAGCUAGUUGGUGAGGUAAAGGCUCACCAAGGCGAUGAUACAUAGCCGACCUGAGAGGGUGAUCGGCCACAUUGGGACUGAGACACGGCCCAAACUCCUACGGGAGGCAGCAGUAGGGAAUCUUCGGCAAUGGAGGAAAGUCUGACCGAGCAACGCCGCGGGAGUGAAGAAGGUUUUCGGAUCGUAAAACUCUGUUGGUAGAGAAGAACGUUGGUGAGAGUGGAAAGCUCAUCAAGUGACGGUAACUACCCAGAAAGGGACGGCUAACUACGUG
Molecule: ribosomal RNA, 497 nt
Filed under: uncultured bacterium
Lineage: Bacteria
Description: partial 16S ribosomal RNA
Rfam family: Bacterial small subunit ribosomal RNA
Source: RNAcentral